Long non-coding RNA from Syngnathoides biaculeatus (alligator pipefish), 460 nucleotides. RefSeq lists it as uncharacterized. The record is from RefSeq and is a predicted model, not a curated record. Lineage: Eukaryota; Metazoa; Chordata; Actinopteri; Syngnathiformes; Syngnathidae. The transcript has 3 exons.
CUCCUUCCGACGAAGGCGGCCGCUGCUUCUUGUCGCCGCUCGCCUGCGCCUCCUCGGCGGCUCCCGCCUGAGGCGUGGAGUCCGGCGGGGGGCCAAAGGGGUUCUCCUCGGGAUCUUCCACCUCGGGGGCGAUGGGAAGAUGUCUGCAUCCCAUCGACUGGCACUCCAGUUGCCACUGAACAUGCCAAACGAUGGCGUCACGUGAACUGAAGUUGCCACAAACCGGGCGCCUCGCUGUCUUCCUCACCUACUGCAAAAAGCCACAAUGGGGUCCACCGUGGUGACGUCCACUUCCUCGUCCUCGGCCGCGUCCGCACCUGCCAGAGCGUUGUACCCGUCUGCUCUGGUUCGCUCUUGUCCUCGUCCUCGAUGUCAAACUCGGACUCGCGCUCUUCGUACUCGACGUUCUCGUCCAGCUCUUUGAAGUCCGGCGCAAAAGCGCUCCAGUUUUCCUGCGGAC